This is a non-coding RNA of Odocoileus virginianus texanus, 883 nucleotides long. The record is from RefSeq and is a predicted model, not a curated record. Lineage: Eukaryota; Metazoa; Chordata; Mammalia; Artiodactyla; Cervidae.
GUAAACACGUAUAAGCUGCCCCUGAGAAGCCCCUGCGUCCGCGUUACGGAGGGGUUACGGCCGUGUCCGCUGGGUCAGUCAGGGCGGAAUGCCGCGCGUCUGCUGCUGUGGCUGCCGGGCCGGGCCGCAGAGGAUAAGCAUGUCCGGGUUUUCUUCCAGCUUCCCCUCUCGUGCCUUGCCUGCCUUGGGUUCAGCGGAACAGUGAGACACCGCAAGACAUUUUCCAAACUCCGUUUCUUAUAGAAGCCAGGACAAGCAGACCUUUGCCUGUGUGGUCUCAGGGAAGCGCCAGAUCCCAUGUGCUGGUGGAGGGAAGCCUGUCACUCAUCAAGGACACACGAGAGCUGCCCUGCCUUCUGAAAACUUUGAAACAAGUUUGGCUAAAGAAAUAUGUGAAGUAAACCAGCCCCAGAUGGUGUGAAUUAACAAUAGAUUUGGAAAGACAUGGAAGAAGCAAGCACUCUACCCACGCUGUCCUCCAACCCCUUGAGAUCAGAAUCGGAGUUUUUAGAAAGAGGCAGAAAUGACGGAGGGCGAGCAGGAGAUAACUGAAGCCCAUGGCCUCUGGGGGAUAUUCAUGUGUAUAGGACACACAUUUUAAAGGAGCUGCUGGUACAGUGAGAAUGUGUUAAUACACCAUGAGCAGACAGAAGAUACUUCUAUCUGUCCCAGUAGCAACAUGAUAAUGUGAAAUUCUAAGUGGUGGUGUCUGCAAAGGAGACUGAAAAGUGCAGAUUAUGCAUCUUAUACACUCAUGUGAAAAGCUUCUCUGGGAGCAUGAGAUUUCUAGUAUUUUAAAGAAGCAGCAGCAUCUGUCUUUAGCAGGUUGGUUGGUGAGAGGUAAUGAGAUGUUUGCAAAUAAAAUUCAAGUUAAUAUGUUAGA